RNAcentral lists this unclassified non-coding RNA (315 nucleotides) under Hevea brasiliensis (rubber tree). Lineage: Eukaryota; Viridiplantae; Streptophyta; Magnoliopsida; Malpighiales; Euphorbiaceae. The record is from RNAcentral.
AAAAAUUUCCCUCGUCUCUCUGCUUCUCCUAUUGCAGACCCGUCGGACCUCAUCGGAGCUCCAUUUCCGGCCGCUCUCUCUCUGCUCCUUCAAGCAAAAUUUUGGCAUAAAAAGAAUCUAACUCUGUUGAAUUAUGGUGAAAUCUGCUAAGUCUCACUUUGACGAAGAAGAUGAACCCGACGGUUACGACUCCUCUUCCUACAAAGGUGACGCAGCGAAGAUAGAUGGUAAGAGCAGUGAACAGAAGGUGAGUACGCAUAGGUCCAAGCAUUCAGAGACAGAGCAGCGUAGAAGGAGCAAGAUUAAUGAGAGGUU